RNAcentral lists this long non-coding RNA (1116 nucleotides) under Homo sapiens (human). Its description in RNAcentral is "HSALNT0304785". The record is from RNAcentral. Lineage: Eukaryota; Metazoa; Chordata; Mammalia; Primates; Hominidae.
UUCACCUGUGAAAGCUUCGAGCUUGCGUGUCUAUGUCUGCAGCUCAAUUUUACAGGCUGCUCUUUGUUAGAAAAGAAAAUGAUAUGGGGGCUGCUUUUCAUUAAAAGGAAAACCUUACCGAGGACUUCCUUACCCUCACUGUCUGCCUGUAUAAUUUAUUCUUAACUCUUAUAUCACUCCAAUCAGAUAAAUCCCACAAGAGAAGUGACUGAGAACGUGGAGGGAGGCCUGGUGCUUUACCCAUGUGGCUAGAGUGAGCAGCACCCUGGUUUGUCUAGGAAAGAGGUGGUUUCCAGGAGGCAGCACUUUCAGUUCUGAAACUUGGGCAGUCCCAGGCGAAUCCGGAGAAUUUGGUCACCCAGGUUAUGGAAAACCCUCCCCAUGAUGGGAAUGAUCAGAAAUGGGGAAAGAUAACUCUAGUCCUAGUUUUCCCUAUAUUUUAAUUCUCUGACACUGUAGUUCUCAAACUUCAGCUGCAUCGGCGUCCCCUGGGGCUCCUGUGAAAACACUGGUGUCUGGGCCAACCAUGGAGUGUCUGGGUGGGGCCUGGGGGUCUGCACUUCUAACAGUUUCCCAGGGACAGUGCAGUUGCUGGCCUGGAGCAUGCUCGGCUGAGGACCGCUGCUCUGAUGCGUGGAGAAGAAACAUGAAGUCCGCAGCUGCCCACAUUCAGGGAAGAUCUUUGAAAGCUCUUCAGACAGUGCCACCCAUCUUCAUGAAGCUGAUCCCCGGAUCUCACUCGCUUGUUUCUCCUCCUUCACCUGCUGAUGAUCAAUGUAGACUUUAGCCCUCAGAAGCUCUCAAAAGACCCAGAUCUUGUGAACUGUUUUCACAUUUCCCCAUGGAUGCCUAGCAAGGGACUGGGACUGCCUGAUCCGCUUUGGUCAAGAGCACGUGGGUGGCCUGUGUGCAGGCUUAUCAUCAAUAAUUGCAGGACUUGGUGGAGUAUGGUUGAACAGGUGCUCAGACUGCAUGCGUGUCUAGCGAGGCCAUCCUGAAGCUGCAUGGGAGUUGUAAAAAAGUUACCAACAAGUUUUUAGUUAUUUGAAUAGGUUUUUGAAUAGAUUUGGAAUGUGGGAAGCAGUUGCAGAAAUAAACGUCUUAAUGACUAAAUGU